CGGCUAAAUGAUAAUCCAUCUAGAUUGUUCAAUUCAACAAAUCACAGCCGUACAUCACGCAAAACCCUAAAAACUCCCUAACCCUAAACCCCAACCUCUCCCUAUAUAAUUCACACCUCUCGCUCCAAUCACCUUCAAUCCGUUCUCCUUCUUGUUCUAGAAAUCGAUCUCUGUAUGCCGUUGUGAUGUUGUUUACUUGAUUUGGUUUUGUUUUCAAUGGAUGAAUGGGGUGAGGUCGAUGAUGAUAGAUCUUAAGGCUUGUUUCUCAGAACAUUCGCAGUGGCCGCCAGAGAGCUUUCGCCUUUCGCCGGGCUUGAGAGCUUGUGCUGCUUUUAUCCUUCCUUGGAUGUCUGAGCCUCUCUCCUUCAUAAAUCUCUUUGCUUAUAAUGCUAUUGUUUUAGUCGUUUAUGUUUGUUUCUCUUUUUUUAAGCCCCUCGGAUUGGAUUUCUUUUUGCUACUCAUAAUUGUGGCUUGAUUUAUGGAAUUCGUCUUGGAGUUUAGAUAUUGGGGAUUUAUUGCAUUUUCACCAUGAUACAAUGGUUUCUAUUUUUCUGAUAUCUUCUUUUGCCUAUUUGUUAUGAACUUGUGAAUUGGGAAAUUGUUUUGUUUUUCAUGUCGGGUCUCUCUCUUUUCGCAUGGGGACUAUACGUCUGCCCCUUUAGCAGGAUUUGGAGUGCUUCAGGGAUGAACAAGUCCCUGAUAUUUAAUUCAAUCCAUCUAUAUCACUUUGUCAGCAGUGUGCUUCUGUUUCCUGCUGAUCAUUAAGGGGUGGAAUAUGCUUUUCUUUUGUUUUUUUCUGUAUUGUUAAUGGUAUUGGGGCAACGAAAGUAUUGAUUUAUCAUUUGGAUAUCGGCCUUUUUCAAACUUGAUAAAUGAAUUGUUUAGUGGUGUUUGUAUGGUUUGUUUCUAUAUUGUGUUGAGCUUACUCAUCAUAUUUGCAGGGAUUGAGAGCUUUUCUGAUGAUUGCCUUUAAUGUAAAGUAUAUCUGCAAUUGCCAGGAUAUUAGUACUGGAGAUUGGAAUUAGGUGGCUAUCAGGGCCAGGGUUUUUUAUUCCUCAGAAUUUAGCUGGAUAUUACUACUGGAGAUUGCUUAAUGAUACAUUUACAAGAGCUGUGUGAAAAAUGUUACUUGAAUAUGAAUACGAGGACAGUUCCACAAUUCGGCUGUGGCGACGAUCGAUGCUAAUAUGAAAGAUGAAAUGAUGGUGAGCUUAUCAGCAAAAAUGUGUCCUAAUUCUUGGCGGGGCAUUCAAAUUUGUGUACCUGCUGUAAAUACGGACGAACAGCCAUUUGUGAGAUCAAGGUGGGUUUGCGAUUAGUUGUGCAAUGCCCAUAAAGAACUCAUCACAUGAAUGAGAUCAUAUCCUCAAUAUUGGGCUUGUUUUUUUAUCGGAUUAAACUGAAAAAAAAAUCGAAAAUCAAAAUAAUUGAGUCGAUUAGAGAACUGG
This is a long non-coding RNA of Manihot esculenta (cassava), 1448 nucleotides long. RefSeq lists it as uncharacterized. Lineage: Eukaryota; Viridiplantae; Streptophyta; Magnoliopsida; Malpighiales; Euphorbiaceae. The record is from RefSeq and is a predicted model, not a curated record. The transcript is spliced from 2 exons.